This 794-nucleotide ribosomal RNA is filed under the name uncultured fungus. RNAcentral's name for it is "eukaryotic LSU rRNA". The stretch from base 1 to 190 matches the Rfam family "Eukaryotic small subunit ribosomal RNA", at positions 1644 to 1831 of the family's 1831-position model. Lineage: Eukaryota; Fungi. The record is from RNAcentral.
AUUACGUCCCUGCCCUUUGUACACACCGCCCGUCGCUACUACCGAUUGAAUGGCUUAGUGAGGUCUCGGGAUUGGCUUCGGGGAGCCGGCAACGGCACCCUGUCGCUGAGAACUUGAUCAAACUUGGUCAUUUAGAGGAAGUAAAAGUCGUAACAAGGUUUCCGUAGGUGAACCUGCGGAAGGAUCAUUAACGAGUUUUGAAAGGGGUUGUAGCUGGCCUUCCGGGGCAUGUGCACACCCUGCUCAUCCACUCUACACCUGUGCACUUACUGUAGGUUGGCGUGGGUUUUUGGUCUUUGCGGAUCAGAGACAUUCUGCCGGCCUAUGUAUUCUACACAAACACCAAGUAAAUGAAUGUAAACGCGUCUAACGCAUCUUAAUACAACUUUCAGCAACGGAUCUCUUGGCUCUCGCAUCGAUGAAGAACGCAGCGAAAUGCGAUAAGUAAUGUGAAUUGCAGAAUUCAGUGAAUCAUCGAAUCUUUGAACGCACCUUGCGCUCCUUGGUAUUCCGAGGAGCAUGCCUGUUUGAGUGUCAUGAAAUUCUCAACUCAUAAACCUUUGCGGGUUUGUGGGCUUGGACUUGGAGGCUUGCUGGUUUUUACUUCAGCUCCUCUUGAAUGCAUUAGCUUGAUUCCCUGCGGAUCGGCUCUCAGUGUGAUAAUUAUCUACGCUGUGGUCGUGAUGUGUUUGGCAAGCUUCUAAUCGUCCUUCACAGGACAGCUUUAUGACAUCUGACCUCAAAUCAGGUAGGACUACCCGCUGAACUUAAGCAUAUCAAUAAGCGGAGGAAAA